Molecule: ribosomal RNA, 468 nt
Filed under: uncultured bacterium
Lineage: Bacteria
Description: partial 16S ribosomal RNA
Rfam family: Bacterial small subunit ribosomal RNA
Source: RNAcentral
GAUGAACGCUGGCGGCGUGCUUAACACAUGCAAGUCGAACGGUGAAGGCGGAGCUUGCUCUGCUGGAUCAGUGGCGAACGGGUGAGUAACACGUGAGCAAUCUGCCCCUGACUCUGGGAUAAGCGCUGGAAACGGCGUCUAAUACUGGAUACGAGCUGCGAAGGCAUCUUCAGCAGCUGGAAAGAAUUUCGGUCAGGGAUGAGCUCGCGGCCUAUCAGCUUGUUGGUGAGGUAAUGGCUCACCAAGGCGUCGACGGGUAGCCGGCCUGAGAGGGUGACCGGCCACACUGGGACUGAGACACGGCCCAGACUCCUACGGGAGGCAGCAGUGGGGAAUAUUGCACAAUGGGCGAAAGCCUGAUGCAGCAACGCCGCGUGAGGGACGACGGCCUUCGGGUUGUAAACUUCUUUUAGCAGGGAAGAAGCGAAAGUGACGGUACCUGCAGAAAAAGCGCCGGCUAACUACGUG